CCUACGGGAGGCAGCAGUGAGGAAUAUUGGUCAAUGGCCGGAAGGCUGAACCAGCCAAGCCGCGUGAGGGAGGAAGGCGCAGAGCGUCGCAGACCUCUUUUGCCGGGGGACAAAAGGCCGGACUCGUCCGGUCCUGAGGGUACCCGGAGAAAAAGCAUCGGCCAACUCCGUGCCAGCAGCCGCGGUACUACGGGGGAUGCGAGCGUUAUCCGGAUUCAUGGGGUUAAACGGGUGCGCAGGCGGGCCUUUCAGCCGGCGGUGAAAUCGCGGGGCUCAGCCCCGCAGAGCCGCCGGAACUGGGGGCCUUGAGUGCGGCGGAGGCAUGCGGAAUGCGCGGUGUAGCGGUGAAAUGCAUAGAGAUCGCGCAGAACCCCGAUUGCGAAGGCAGCGCGCCGUGCCGCCACUGACGCUGAGGUACGAAAGCGCGGGGAUCGAACAGGAUUAGAUACCCGUGUAGUC
RNAcentral lists this ribosomal RNA (459 nucleotides) under uncultured bacterium. RNAcentral describes it as "partial 16S ribosomal RNA". It matches the Rfam family "Bacterial small subunit ribosomal RNA", at positions 338 to 795 of the family's 1533-position model. The record is from RNAcentral.